CCUACGGGUGGCAGCAGUGGGGAAUAUUGCACAAUGGGGGAAACUCUGAUGCAGCGACGCCGCGUGCGUGAAGAAGUAUUUCGGUAUGUAAAGCUCUAUCAGCAGGGAAGAAAUAAAGUCCUUCGGACUUUGGACGGUACCUGACUAAGAAGCCCCGGCUAACUACGUGCCAGCAGCCGCGGUAAUACGGAGGGGGCAAGCGUUAUCCGGAUUUACUGGGUGUAAAGGGAGCGUAGACGGCAGGGCAAGUCUGGAGUGAAAUCCCAUGGCUUAACCAUGGAACUGCUUUGGAAACUGUGCGGCUGGAGUGCAGGUGAGGUAAGCGGAAUUCAUAGUGUAGCGGUGAAAUGCGUAGAGAUUAGAAGGAACACCAGUGGCGAAGGCGACUUACUGGACUGUAACUGACGUUGAGGCUCGAAAGCGUGGGGAGCAAACAGGAUUAGAUACCCGAGUAGUC
This 457-nucleotide ribosomal RNA is filed under the name uncultured bacterium. Its description in RNAcentral is "partial 16S ribosomal RNA". It matches the Rfam family "Bacterial small subunit ribosomal RNA", at positions 338 to 795 of the family's 1533-position model. The record is from RNAcentral.